This is a non-coding RNA of Phthorimaea operculella (potato tuberworm), 72 nucleotides long. The record is from the annotation of a GenBank genome assembly. Lineage: Eukaryota; Metazoa; Arthropoda; Insecta; Lepidoptera; Gelechiidae.
GCGCCGGAAGCUCAUUUGGCAGAGCAUUGCGACGGUACCUCACGGUCCCGGGUUCAAACCCCGGCCGACGCU